Molecule: small RNA, 179 nt
Filed under: Streptomyces sp.
Lineage: Bacteria; Bacillati; Actinomycetota; Actinomycetes; Kitasatosporales; Streptomycetaceae
Also listed under: 1 other name
Description: c-di-AMP sequence
Rfam family: c-di-AMP riboswitch aptamer (ydaO/yuaA leader)
About the family: This family represents a conserved RNA structure found upstream of the ydaO and yuaA genes in Bacillus subtilis and related genes in other bacteria.
Source: RNAcentral
ACGCUUCGUGCGCCGCAGGCAGGAGCGGGGGACCCAAGGUAAGUGCCGGGUCCGGCCGUCGAGAGACGGCCGGCCACCGGCUUGGGGUGAAGCCGCGCGUCCGUCAGGGCGCACACGCGGCCGGGCGACUCCCCGCCCGAACCCGACAGCUCACCUCGCAGGCGUCGGUGAGGAGAUAC